This 465-nucleotide ribosomal RNA is filed under the name Vreelandella stevensii. RNAcentral describes it as "partial 16S ribosomal RNA". It matches the Rfam family "Bacterial small subunit ribosomal RNA", at positions 338 to 795 of the family's 1533-position model. Lineage: Bacteria; Pseudomonadati; Pseudomonadota; Gammaproteobacteria; Oceanospirillales; Halomonadaceae. The record is from RNAcentral.
CCUACGGGUGGCGGCAGUGGGGAAUAUUGGACAAUGGGGGGAACCCUGAUCCAGCCAUGCCGCGUGUGUGAAGAAGGCCCUCGGGUUGUAAAGCACUUUCAGUGAGGAAGAACGCCUGGUGGUUAAUACCCAUCAGGAAAGACAUCACUCACAGAAGAAGCACCGGCUAACUCCGUGCCAGCAGCCGCGGUAAUACGGAGGGUGCGAGCGUUAAUCGGAAUUACUGGGCGUAAAGCGCGCGUAGGUGGCUUGAUAAGCCGGUUGUGAAAGCCCCGGGCUCAACCUGGGAACGGCAUCCGGAACUGUCAAGCUAGAGUGCAGGAGAGGAAGGUAGAAUUCCCGGUGUAGCGGUGAAAUGCGUAGAGAUCGGGAGGAAUACCAGUGGCGAAGGCGGCCUUCUGGACUGACACUGACACUGAGGUGCGAAAGCGUGGGUAGCAAACAGGAUUAGAUACCCCGGUAGUC